This 23-nucleotide small nuclear RNA is filed under the name Arabidopsis thaliana (thale cress). Its description in RNAcentral is "snRNA_11829". Lineage: Eukaryota; Viridiplantae; Streptophyta; Magnoliopsida; Brassicales; Brassicaceae. The record is from RNAcentral.
UCACGUCAUUGAUACACGGAAGA